RNAcentral lists this ribosomal RNA (253 nucleotides) under uncultured bacterium. Its description in RNAcentral is "partial 16S ribosomal RNA". It matches the Rfam family "Bacterial small subunit ribosomal RNA", at positions 524 to 776 of the family's 1533-position model. The record is from RNAcentral.
UACGUAGGUGACCAGCGUUGUCCGGAUUUACUGGGCGUAAAGAGCGCGCAGGCGGUCGUUCAAGUCGAGUGUGAAAGCCCCCGGCUCAACUGGGGAGGGUCACUCGAUACUGAUCGACUUGAAGGCAGGAGAGGGAAGCGGAAUUCCCGGUGUAGUGGUGAAAUGCGUAGAUAUCGGGAGGAACACCAGUGGCGAAGGCGGCUCUCUGGGCCCUACCUGACGCUGAGACGCGAAAGCGUGGGGAGCGAACCGG